Molecule: unclassified non-coding RNA, 1474 nt
Filed under: uncultured fungus
Lineage: Eukaryota; Fungi
Description: sequence contains 18S rRNA gene, ITS1, 5.8S rRNA gene, ITS2, 28S rRNA gene
Rfam family: Eukaryotic large subunit ribosomal RNA (bases 510-1474)
Source: RNAcentral
GGAAGGAUCAUUAACACUAAUUCACACAAACUCAACGAAGCCUUCAGUUGUAGCAGGCAGCGCGAGCUAGCGAAAGCGAAGCAGUGUAGCCUCUGCAGCACCAAAUAUAACUAAUCACGCAAAGGAGCCUUACUAAGCUCAUCACACAAAACCAAAUUCUCAACGAUGGAUAUCUUGGUUCCCAUAACGAUGAAGAACGCAGCGAAGUGCGAUAAGCAGUGCGAAUUGCAGAACCGUGAGUCAUCAGAUUUUUGAACGCAACUGGCGCUGGCUGGAUCUCCGGCCAGCAUGCUUGUUUCAGUGUCUUGUUUUCUCCUCACCCAAAUCAUAAUGCGAGAGAUGCCCUUCUCUUGCCAAACAUGAAAGCACUCUGUGCUCUGCGAGCGGUGUCUCCGAGCUUGCUCGGGUGCCGCACUCAAUGCAGCCGUCACAUUGCUCACAAUGUGAACUCAUUGAGAGCAGAGGCAGUGCAGCGUUGCUGUCAGUGCUUAGCCAAUCAAACUCUCCUUGUAUCUGAAAUCAAGCAGGAUCACCCGCUGAACUUAAGCAUAUCACUAAGCGGAGGAAAAGAAACUAACUAGGAUUGCCUCAGUAACGGCGAGUGAAGCGGCAAGAGCCCAAACUGGAAAUCUUCACACUGCGUGUGACGAAUUGUAAUCUAAAGAUGGUUCGCUCAACGGGCGGGGGCGCAGAAGUGCCAGUGAAUGGGCCGCCAGAGAGGGUGAUAGCCCCGUAUGUGGUGCCACUGCCUAACGAGCGGGUCGUCCAAGAGUCGGGUUGUUUUGUAUUGCAGCCCUAAGUGGGAGAUAAACUUCUUCUAAGGCUAAAUAUAUAUGGGAAACCGAUAGCGAACAAGUACUGUGAAGGAAAGAUGAAAAGAACUUUGAAAAGAGAGUCAAAAGACUUGAAAUCGUUGAGAAGGAAGCGGUAGAAGUUUAUCCUUCGGCGUGGAGCGAAGGCGGUUGCCUAACCAUUGGCGGCUUCCAGCACCGCAAGGGCUGGGGUCGCCACCUGGGGAAGCGGCUCCGUGUUCCGCGUCGUGAGGCAAAAUGGGGUCGCGCAUCCGCAGAGGCUUCUCAUACCUCGCCGCAAGGCAGUAUGGGUGUGCUGGCGGGCUCGCGGCCUGAGGGUGCUUCGUGCGAUUUUGCCAAAAUGGCUUUUACCGACCCGUCUUGAAACACGGACCAAGGAGUCUAGCAUAUAUGCGAGUGUGCUGGUGGAGAAACCAACACGCGUAAUGAAGGUAAGCGAUGCCAAGCGCAAGCGGCAGCAUCGACCGACCAUGAUCCUCCGGUGAAAGGUUUGAGUAAGAGCAUAUCUGUUAGGACCCGAAAGAUGGUGAACUAUGCCUGAGUAGGGUGAAGCCAGGGGAAACUCUGGUGGAGGCUCGUAGCGGUACUGACGUGCAAAUCGUUCGUCAAACUUGGGUAUAGGGGCGAAAGACUAAUCGAACCAUCUAGUAGCUGGUUCCCUC